This 66-nucleotide transfer RNA is filed under the name Caudoviricetes sp. Its description in RNAcentral is "tRNA-OTHER". It matches the Rfam family "tRNA". From Rfam's summary of the family: Transfer RNA (tRNA) molecules are approximately 80 nucleotides in length. Their secondary structure includes four short double-helical elements and three loops (D, anti-codon, and T loops). Lineage: Duplodnaviria; Heunggongvirae; Uroviricota; Caudoviricetes. The record is from RNAcentral.
CCGGUAGCUCAGCGGCUAGAGCGUAUGGCUACGGUCAUAGGGUCGGUGGUUCGAGUCCACUCCGGU